AUUGAACGCUGGCUGCUGGCCUAACACCUGCAAGUCGGAGGACUGGCGGACGGGUGAGUAAUGUGUGGGCAACUGACUGAUGGGGGGGGAUAACUACUUGAAACGGUAGCUAAUACCGCAUACAAUCGGAUGGGCCCAAAUGGGAUUAGCUAGUAGGUGGGUGAAAGGCUUACCUAGGCCACGAUCCCUCGCUGGUCUGAGAGGAUGACCAGCCACACUGGAACUGAGACACGGUCCGGACUACUACGGGAGGCAGCAGUGGGGAAUAUUGCAAAAGGGGCGCAAGCCUUAUGCAGCCACGCCGCGUGUAUGAAGAAGGCCUUCGGGUUGUAAAGUACUUUCAGCGGUGAGGCGUUAACCGCAGAAGAAGCCCCGGCUAACUCCCUGCCAGCAGCCGCGGUAAUAC
This 406-nucleotide ribosomal RNA is filed under the name uncultured bacterium. RNAcentral describes it as "partial 16S ribosomal RNA". It matches the Rfam family "Bacterial small subunit ribosomal RNA", at positions 30 to 526 of the family's 1533-position model. The record is from RNAcentral.